GACGAUGGCGCCCUCUAGCGGCAGCAGGUAGGCAGUGGGGGUCCUGGGCGUGGCUGUGUGCCCGCGUUCUGGGAGGAUACCUGGCGCCGACCUUGAAGGGACCUGAACGUGAGAGGGAAAAACGCCCGUGAUGCCAAGGCUUGGGCAGCGGACAGCCAAAAUCCUGAAACCCCGAGAUGCUCCCUGUGAUUCACUUUCCAGAGGCCCCUCAAGGCCCCGACGCUGGCCCGGAGGGCGGUCGCUGACUAUCUUGAGACUGAAGCUCACUUUAGGAUCCUGGGCGUUCCUGUCAGUUUUUUUAUGAAUACAGGGAAAACCAGUGGCUUACUGACAGUUUAGAAACUCCCUGAGGAGGGCCGGGCGCGGUGGCUCGCGCCUGUAAUCCCAGCACUUUGGGAGGCCGAGGCGGGCGGAUCGCCUGAGGUCAGGAGUUCAAGAGUAGCCUGGCCAACAUGGUGAAACUACUAAAAAUACAAAAAAUAGUCUCUACCAAAAAUACAAAAAAUUAGCCGGGCGUGGUGGCGGGCACCUGUAGUCCCAGCUACUCAGGAAGGCUGAGACAAGAGAAUCGCUUGAACUCGGGAGGCGGAGGUUGCGGUGAGCCGAAAUCGUGCCAUUGCGCUCCAGCCUGGGCAACAAGAGUGAAACUCAGUCGCGAAAGAAAGGGAGAAAGGGAGAAAGAGAGGGAGGAAGGAAGGAAGGAAGAAAAGAGAAAGGAAGAGUCUCUGAGGAGCAAGCAAUUCCCUCAGCCAAAGAGCUUCUGCUCUCAAUUCUCGUUUGGUCUUGCUGAGCCACGGUUUGGGGUCUCCUAGAAGCAGCCAUCACAGGUAACCAGUUCUGCCGGCUCAGGAUGGCCCCUGCUGCCCUGACUCAGAGACACUUCCUGUAAGGCAGACAUCUCAUGCAGAGCAGAGGCCACUACAGUCAGAAGGAAGGGCCUGGUAGCCUCAGAGGCACAGCCAAGGGGCUGCAACAAUGGAAAGAAGAUAUUCCACAGGUCCAAGGAUGUGACAUGGAAGCACUCUCUGGGAUGUGGUGGACUCAAAGAGAUCCAUGCAGAUGUGGGUGCUCUCUCUCUCUCUUUCUCUGUUCUUCAUAGAGUGUGGCAUGGGUCCUCUCUGCGUGAAAAUAGGUGCCCAGAAUCACACACUUCCAUUCAAAAUAAAUUGUGUCAACCUGCUGAACCACAAAAUGAUUCCCUUGCCAUGGCCCCUAAAGAGCUCUGUGAUAAGAACUGUAUGCUAUUGAUGGAUCUGAAGUCUAAAUUUUGGCAAAAGCAAAGAACACGCCUGAACCAGUCAUUUCUGCAGGUGUUUCUCCUUAAGAUGAGUUUGAAGCCAAUUGGUUAUGUGAAGAAUAGCAAUCAGUUCUUUCUCUCACACUGGAGGAGGGAGAAGCAGAAACGAAAGUUCAAGGGUCAAGCCUCCCAAAAGGCUCUGUUGUAAUCCUAUGCGCUCUUUCAUCGUAUCUAGUGAUGAAUUUGGGUAACUGACACUUUACUCUUUGGCCAUCCAUCCUCGAACUUGAUAAGCAUUUUCAUUUAUGUAAGUUUACUUGUAAUUCUUCCAAAACUUAUCUUCACAUUUCCCAGCAAACUAAUUUCAGACAUUUUAUGUUUUUAUGAUUCUAUUGUGAAAGGAACCUCCAUUUCAAUAUACCCAUUGCAGGUAUAGAUUUUGUGCACUGCUUUAUGGUGUUGAUUUGUCCAUCUUUUUUAUUCUGCCUGGCUUAUUGUAAUCUUGAUUUUUUAAUUUUUCAAUUGGGUUUUUAAAGUAUGUUAAUGUUAAUAAAUGCAUUUUUAGGUUUCCUUUCCCAA
Molecule: long non-coding RNA, 1816 nt
Filed under: Macaca fascicularis (crab-eating macaque)
Lineage: Eukaryota; Metazoa; Chordata; Mammalia; Primates; Cercopithecidae
Description: lncRNA (ENSMFAG00000057094.1)
Source: RNAcentral